GACGAACGCUGGCGGCGUGCUUAACACAUGCAAGUCGAACGGAAAGGCCCUGCUUUUGUGGGGUGCUCGAGUGGCGAACGGGUGAGUAACACGUGAGUAACCUGCCCUUGACUUUGGGAUAACUUCAGGAAACUGGGGCUAAUACCGGAUAGGAGCUCCUGCUGCAUGGUGGGGGUUGGAAAGUUUCGGCGGUUGGGGAUGGACUCGCGGCUUAUCAGCUUGUUGGUGGGGUAGUGGCUUACCAAGGCUUUGACGGGUAGCCGGCCUGGGAGGGUGACCGGCCACGUUGGGACUGAGAUGCGACCCAGACUCCUACGGGAGGCAGCAGUGGGGAAUAUUGCACUAUAGGCGGAAGCCUGAUGCAGCAACGCCGCGUGCGGGAUGACGGCCUUCGGUUUGUAAACCGCUUUCGCCUGUGACGAAGCGUGAGUGACGGUAAUGGGUAAAGAAGCACCGGCUAACUACGUG
Molecule: ribosomal RNA, 468 nt
Filed under: uncultured bacterium
Lineage: Bacteria
Description: partial 16S ribosomal RNA
Rfam family: Bacterial small subunit ribosomal RNA
Source: RNAcentral